RNAcentral lists this ribosomal RNA (605 nucleotides) under Saccharomyces uvarum. Its description in RNAcentral is "partial large subunit ribosomal RNA". It matches the Rfam family "Eukaryotic large subunit ribosomal RNA", at positions 44 to 663 of the family's 3401-position model. The record is from RNAcentral. Lineage: Eukaryota; Fungi; Ascomycota; Saccharomycetes; Saccharomycetales; Saccharomycetaceae.
CCCCUAGCGGAGGAAAAGAAACCAACCGGGAUUGCCUUAGUAACGGCGAGUGAAGCGGCAAAAGCUCAAAUUUGAAAUCUGGUACCUUUGGUGCCCGAGUUGUAAUUUGGAGAGGGCAACUUUGGGACCGUUCCUUGUCUAUGUUCCUUGGAACAGGACGUCAUAGAGGGUGAGAAUCCCGUGUGGCGAGGAGUGCGGUUCUAUGUAAAGUGCCUUCGAAGAGUCGAGUUGUUUGGGAAUGCAGCUCUAAGUGGGUGGUAAAUUCCAUCUAAAGCUAAAUAUUGGCGAGAGACCGAUAGCGAACAAGUACAGUGAUGGAAAGAUGAAAAGAACUUUGAAAAGAGAGUGAAAAAGUACGUGAAAUUGUUGAAAGGGAAGGGCAUUUGAUCAGACAUGGUGUUUUGCGCCCUCUGCUCCUUGUGGGUGGGGGAAUCUCGCAGUUCACUGGGCCAGCAUCAGUUUUGGUGGCAGGAUAAAUCCGUAGGAAUGUAACUUGCUUCGGGAAGUAUUAUAGCCUAUGGGAAUACUGCCAGCUGGGACUGAGGACUGCGACGUAAGUCAAGGAUGCUGGCAUAAUGGUUAUAUGCCGCCCGUCUGAAAACCCC